RNAcentral lists this ribosomal RNA (394 nucleotides) under Pelagophyceae sp. RNAcentral's name for it is "partial small subunit ribosomal RNA". It matches the Rfam family "Eukaryotic small subunit ribosomal RNA", at positions 582 to 975 of the family's 1831-position model. Lineage: Eukaryota; Pelagophyceae. The record is from RNAcentral.
AUUCCAGCUCCAAUAGCGUAUAUUAAUGUUGUUGCAGUUAAAAAGCUCGUAGUUGGAUUCCUGGCCUGGGGUAGCCGGUCCGCCUUGCAAAAGGUGCGCACUGAGCGGCCUCGGCCAUCCUUGGGAAGAGCAGUCCUGGCAUUCAGUUGUCGGGGUUGGGAUUCCCGACGUUUACUGUGAAAAAAUCAGAGUGUUCAACGCAGGCUUACGCCUUGAAUACAUUAGCAUGGAAUAAUGAGAUAGGACCUUGGCGGUCUAUUUUGUUGGUUUGCACGCCGAGGUAAUGAUUAAAAGGGACGGUUGGGGUUCUUCGUAUUCAAUUGUCAGAGGUGAAAUUCUUGGAUUUAUGGAAGACGAACUGCUGCGAAAGCGUCGAACAAGGACGUUCUCAUUG